Molecule: non-coding RNA, 555 nt
Organism: Ictidomys tridecemlineatus (thirteen-lined ground squirrel)
Lineage: Eukaryota; Metazoa; Chordata; Mammalia; Rodentia; Sciuridae
Source: RefSeq, a predicted model, not a curated record
CCCUCACAUGGCCUAUGCUUCCCAAAGCCCUGGGCACCACACCAAGCUGUCUCAGGAAGAGGAAGAAGCCAGAGGGGACCGAGGUACCAGGUGGCACCUGGGAGGGGUCAGCUCAGGGGCUACCACCUGCCACCCCAAUGACACUCCUCACAUGGCCACACCUACUUGGCAGCAGCCUUUGAUCUCUCACGUACACAUUUGAAAUGAGGAACAGUGUGACCAGGCUCCAGGGAAAAGAAGACAACAUGGAAACCUGAGAAUUGCUGGCUGGGGCUGUGCCUGGAAAGAGAUUUGGGCAGGGUUCUGGGGACUGAAUUUACUCCGGUUCCUGAAGUGUGGAAAAAGUAAACACAGUUUUGUUUGGAUUCCACCCUUCAGUUUCUCCAGACUAAGACACAGCAAAAUGCCAGAAAGUGACCCCAAAGAAAAUAAUUGUUUUGGGGCAUGAAAAUAAUGAACGGCAUGAGAAUGUUAAUGGUAAUGAAAUGCAAAAGCAACAACAACAACAACAACAAAACCCUAGAGAUUGUAUAAUUAAAGAGAUUACAAAGGAAA